This 529-nucleotide long non-coding RNA is filed under the name Rattus norvegicus (Norway rat). Its description in RNAcentral is "long non-coding RNA NONRATT000163". The record is from RNAcentral. Lineage: Eukaryota; Metazoa; Chordata; Mammalia; Rodentia; Muridae.
CCAUCCAUGUCACCUCACCCUUCUCCUGGGGGCCAGAUGCAUCCUGGAAUCAGUAACUUUCAGCAGAGUAACUCAAGUGGCACGUAUGGUCCACAGAUGAGCCAGUAUGGACCCCAAGGCAACUACUCCAGAACCCCAACAUAUAGCGGGGUGCCCAGUGCAAGCUACAGCGGCCCAGGGCCUGGUAUGGGCAUCAAUGCCAACAACCAGAUGCAUGGACAAGGGCCAACCCAGCCAUGUGGUGCUAUGCCCCUGGGACGAAUGCCAUCAGCUGGGAUGCAGAGCAGACCUUUUCCUGGAAACAUGAGCAGCGUCCCCCCCAGCUCUCCUGGCAUGUCUCAACAGGGAGGGCCAGGAAUGGGCCCACCAAUGCCCACUGUGAACCGCAAGGCCCAGGAAGCUGCCGCGGCUGUGAUGCAGGCUGCUGCAAACUCAGCCCAAAGCAGGCAAGGCAGCUUUCCUGGCAUGAACCAGAGUGGACUCGUGGCCUCCAGCUCUCCCUACAGCCAGCCCAUGAACAAUAACUCCA